RNAcentral lists this ribosomal RNA (486 nucleotides) under uncultured bacterium. RNAcentral's name for it is "partial 16S ribosomal RNA". It matches the Rfam family "Bacterial small subunit ribosomal RNA", at positions 30 to 507 of the family's 1533-position model. The record is from RNAcentral.
AUUGAACGCUGGCGGCAUGCCUUACACAUGCAAGUCGAACGGCAGCACGGGUGCUUGCACCUGGUGGCGAGUGGCGAACGGGUGAGUAAUACAUCGGAACAUGUCCUGUAGUGGGGGAUAGCCCGGCGAAAGCCGGAUUAAUACCGCAUACGAUCUACGGAUGAAAGCGGGGGACCUUCGGGCCUCGCGCUAUAGGGUCGGCCGAUGGCUGAUUAGCUAGUUGGUGGGGUAAAGGCCUACCAAGGCGACGAUCAGUAGCUGGUCUGAGAGGACGACCAGCCACACUGGGACUGAGACACGGCCCAGACUCCUACGGGAGGCAGCAGUGGGGAAUUUUGGACAAUGGGCGAAAGCCUGAUCCAGCAAUGCCGCGUGUGUGAAGAAGGCCUUCGGGUUGUAAAGCACUUUUGUCCGGAAAGAAAUCCUUGGCCCUAAUACGGUCGGGGGAUGACGGUACCGGAAGAAUAAGCACCGGCUAACUACGUG